UUACGUGGUAUUGUGCAUAGUAACUUUGUUUAUUGACGGUAAAGCUUGAAUGAUAUUGGGCUUGAAUUUGAUUUGUGUUUGAAUUUAUUUCAGUGUUAACUUCUAGGGCUGAUUAACUUUUCAAUCUUACUAUAUGUUUGUGUUUCAUGGACCUUUUUCCAGAAACAUACUUUAACUAUUUAAAUAAAAAGAUUUUAAUUUAUGCACAAAAAAUACAAUGGCAACAGUUUCAUUGUCUUCGGUUCCAAAACGUUUGCGUAUGGUUGAAGACUUUCGGUGCACGUCUUGUCAAGAGCUGAAUCUCGAGGAAUCUGCAGAUAUUUACUGUGAGGCAUGUCAUAUGUUUUACUGUAAAAGAUGUGGUCACCUUCAUAAUCGGCUUUCUACAGAGCAUACUACUGUUGGAAGGGGAGAUAUUAAGAAAUGGCCAGUUCCAAAGGAGGUGGAGGAUUUUCUCAGGAUGUGUGAAGCACAUGAGGAUAAAAUACUGACACAGUUUUGCCAAGACCACACUCAGCUGUGCUGCUCUGAUUGUGUUGUAAAAAUCCACAGCCAGUGCAGUAAAGUGACCCAGAUUUCGGAGCUGACCAACUCGCAGCCCACAGGCCUAGAGGGGCUGUCAGUGGAGCUGGAAACUGUCCUGGGGGAAAUUAAAACCCUGCAAAUCAGUCAGAAGGCCAGCAUUCAGUCAUUUCAGAGAACAUACAAGGAACAUAGUGCAGUUAUGAUAGAGCAAAUGCUUGGCAAUUUAAAUACUUAUAUAGAUUAAUGUGAUAAUAAUUCUGUGGGUACAUCAGGCGGAAAUGAGCAAUAUUUAAAAGAAGAGAUGUGUAGGAGUGUUCUCUCUAUCGUGAAUGAAUUUGAUAAUAUUACUACGAAGGAACUUAACGAGAUGAAAGAUGAAGUUAUAAGUAUUAAAGAGUCAGUUACAAGUUCUAUUCAUAAAUGCACCACUCUUCACAAUGACUUGUCACAAUUCCAUGAACUUGUUCAGAAAAUUGGAGAUAAUAAGGAGCUCUGUCUUAUAGCCAGCAUAAAAUGUUAGCAUAUAAUACAGCAAGCAUUGACUCUGCUAGGAAAGUCAGGCAAGGCGUUUAACGUCCAGCGGAAGUCUGUGCACAAUGUGAGAAUACCAAGUGAUUCAUAUGAAUGUAGUAUCGCAGGCAUAUGUGUUCUGACUGAUGGGCAGGUGCUGGUCGCAGACUCGAACAAUAAGAGGAUCAAGCUGCUGAACCAGCAGUACCAGGUGGUGAAUCACUGGGAUGUGACUGCUGGGCCAUGGGACAUAUGUUUGAUCACAUCCAGUGAGGUUGCAGUGGCUGUGAAUGACCAUGAUAGCAAGAUACAUGAGGUCCAGUUUAUCACUGUCAACCAGGGAAAGCUUGUUUCUGGCAGGAAGUUUCAGUUACAACAUGAAUGUAGCUGUAUUACCCAUCACCAAGGAGACCUUUUUGUCACCUCUCCUCAAGAACUGUACAAAUACUCACUGAAUGGCAAACUGAUCUGCAGACUCUACCAAGAUAGAUCAGCUAAUUGGACAGUAAGGCAGUGUGCUGCGAGUCCCACAGGAGACAGGCUGUACAUCACCAGCUGGCAACAAGACAAGCUUCUCACCCUGGCCAGGGAUGGCACACUCCUGGCUACAUACACAGACCCAGCACUAGAUGGCCCAUGGGGUCUACAUGUGACCCCUGCAGGCCAGGUGCUGGUCUGUGGAGACUGGUCCUCCACUGUACUACAGGUGGGCUGGGAGGGAGAGAGUAAGCUGGCUACGCUGGCUACUAAGGAGGAUGGAGUGUGGUGGCCAGAGUCAGUCUGCUACAGCAGCACCACAUCAUCCAUCAUUGUGGGAUAGAGGUGGGACGACACCAUCCUGGUGUUCAGAGUGGAAUAGUGUGUACAUUGCUGCUGAGUCAGGACAACGAUGCUGAGGAUGUGGUGGACACGGAUGACCUGACUAUGCAGAAGGACAGCACCACCAUUGAUAUCGAUUUGGCCCAGCAUCAGCACCAGUCCUGCCUGCAGGAGCCCCAGUCCAGGACGAUACAUCCACUCCCCUGACCCAUAGCUCAUCAUACUUGAUAUCCGGAAAAAUGGGGCCUUGUGCAUGUGCUUAAAUUGUUGUCACAGAUAAGCCUGUGCAGUUUGCACAGGCUUAUAAUGGACAACACUUUCCUGUUAAAGGUUUUUUUUGUUGAACAAAUAAUCCUCUUUAUGAAAAUCCAGUCUAGUCAGAAAGAACCCUCCCUAAUUAGCUUAUGUGAAUUUCACAUGCUAAUCUUGGACGACACUUUCUAACAUUAGUGAUCUGCAUAUUGGCCUAUGAAAAUACAUUUCUGGAAAUGGAGUAAAGAUUAUAGAUAUAACUGUACAGAUAAGUAUAGCAUUAGCCAACACUUUUCUUGUUUUAAUACAGAAUGACUUAAUUGUAUUUAUUUUCAUGCUAUUAAGGACAAGGAACCAAUAAAAUGCCAGAUUAGAAAUUCAUGUUGAAAACCUUCACAGCCAGUUAAGAGGCAUAGUUUGUUAUAGAUUGUAAUAUAUUUGUUAAAAGUUCCUAUCACCCACUGUGUUGUUGUUGUUUUCAGCAGAGCACCAGCAUUGAUAUCGAGUUGGCCCAGAAACCACACCAGUCACGCCUGCAGGAGCCCCAGUCCAGAACGACCCUUCCCCUGCCUUGACUUUUAACUCCUCCCCCUUGACCUCCUGCCUCAAAAAGUCAGCAUCGUUGAACAACUCUGUUCUGCAGGAAAUUCUGAGCAUGAAUCUGUUCUGAACAAACGCAAUGCCCACGUUACAUUUUCCAAACAUAAGCCUGGGUAGUUUUAUUAAGCUGGAGUUGCGCGUGGGCCUGAAAGGGACUAGUGUUACAGACACGAAAAGUUAUAGCAGUAGUUAUGGUAACGCUAACAGUCAGUUGUUGCUGUUGGACAUCACAACAAAUAUCAUGAAGAAUAAAAAGUUCAAUAACUCAUUCCAAUCUUUAUGAGACAAACAGAAAUUGAACGGGAGAAAAUCAAAGAACAAUAAAAGCGUAAGCUUUCCUAGUGGGAUACUUUUGCUGUUGAUAGUUUGGACAACAGUAGGGUUGCGGACUGCCCCAGAUUGUCCUCUCAGCGGCCAAAAUAUCAUAAUAGAACGGACUUUUGGCAAUGUUACUGACAAAGAAAGGCAAUAAUGACUUGGUUGUCAAUACCCAGAGCAAGAUACAUCCAUGCUGAGAAAGAAAGGCAGUAAUGACUUGGCUGUGAACACCCAGAGCGCGAUACAUCCAUGCUGACACAGUAAGGCAGUAAUGACUUGGUUGUGAACACCCAGAGCACAAUACAUCCGUGCUGACACAGAAAGGCAGUAAUGACUUGGUUGUGAACACCCAGAGCACAAUACAUACAUGCUGACACAGAAAGGAAGUAAUGACUUGGUUGUGAACACCCAGAGCACGAUACAUCCAUGCUGACACAGAAAGGCAGUAUGACUUGGCUGUGAACACAGAACACAAUACACCCAUGCUGAUACAGAAAGGCAGUAAUGACUUGGUUGUGAACACCUAGAGCAAGAUAUUUCCAUGCUGACACAGAAAGGCAGUAAUGACUAUGCUGUGAACACCUUGAGCAAGAUAUAUCCUUGCUAACACAGAAAGGCAGUAAUGACUAUGCUGUGAACACCCGGAGCAUAAUACAUCCAUGCUGACACAGAAAGGCAGUAAUGACUUGGUUGUGAACACCCAGGGCAAGAUAUAUCCAUGCUGACACAGAAAGGCAGUAAUGACUAUGCUGUGAACACCCAGAGCAAGAUAUAUACAUGCUGACACAGAAAGGCAGUAAUGAUUAUGCUGUCUAAACCAACAGAAAGAUAUAUCCAUGCUGACACAGAAAAGCAGUAAUGACUAUGCAGUGAACACCCAGAGCAAGAUAUAUCCAUGCUGACACAGAAAGGCAGUAAUAACUUUGUUUUGAACAACCAGAGCAAGAUAUAUCCAUGCUGAUACAGAAAGGCAGUAAUGACUUGGCUGUGAACACAGAACCCGAUACACCCAUGCUGACACAGAAAAGGCAGUAAUGACUUGGCAGUAAACACAGAACACAAUACACACAUGCUGACACAGAAAGGCAGUAAUGACUUUGCUGUGAACACAGAGCACAAAACAUCCAUGCUGACACAAAAAGGCAGUAAUGACUUGGCUGUGAGCACAGAACACCAUACAUCCAUGCUGAUACAAAAAGGCAGUAAUAACAUGGCUGUGUACACAGAGCACAAUACAUCCAUGCUGACACAGAAAGGCAGUUAUGACUUGGUUGUGAACACAAGAGCACAAUACAUCCUUGUUGACACAGAAAGGCAGUAAUGACUUGGCUGUGAACACAGAGCACAAUACAUCCAUGCUGACACAGAAAGGCAGUUAUGACUUGGUUGUGAACACAGAGCACAAUACAUCCUUGUUGACACAGAAAGGCAGUUAUGACUUUGCUGUGAACUCAGAGCACGAUACGUCCAUGCUGACACAGAAAGGCAGUAAUGACUAUGCUGCGAACACCCAGAGCACAAUACAUCCAUGCUAACACCCAGAGCAAGAUAUAUCCAUGCUGACACAGAAAGGAAGUAAUGACUAUGCUGUGAACACCCAGAGCAAGAUAUAUCCAUGCUGACACAGAAAGGCAGUAAUGACUAUGCCGUGAACACCCAGAACACAAUACAUCCAUGCUGAAACAGAAAGUCAGUAAUGACUUGGUUGUGAACUCAGAGCACAAUACAUCCAUGCUGUCACAGAAAGGCAGUAAUGACUUUGCUGUGAACUCAGAGCACGAUACACCCAUGCUGACACAGAAAGGCAGUAAUGACUUGGAUGUAAACACCCAGAGCACAAUACAUCCAUGAUUACACAGAAAGGCAGUAAAGACUUGGUUGUAAACACCCAGAGCACAAUACAUCCAUGCUGACACAGAAAGGCAGUAAAGACUUUGUUGUAAACACUAAGAUAUCCAUACAUCCAUGGGGUGUGCCACAGACGCAAAUUACGCCCACCAUUUUGAACAAGGUGCUUAAAGUGAACACGUCUGGUUUUGUUAUGAGCACUUAGCACUCCGAGCCUAAAAGGCCUCACAUUGAAUUGAUGCAAGAGAAGGCUUUGAAAAAUAACAGCAGUUUUGUUGUGUGGUCCAAUACGCCCUUCGACUCGCAACCUGAAGAAAGCAGAACUCAAACUCGUCUCUUAGCAAUAUCAGCAAGGCCAUCAUGUCAAUCUCAGCUUCUAGAGCUUCAGUGAACUUAACUAGCAAACAUGACAAACGUCAUUGAAGUGAAAGUCGAUGACAACCCCCUUCUUGCACAAAUAUUUCAACUCGCUUAAGAAAUUCAGCAUGAAGACGUCUUGCGUCAGACUACCAAGCCUCCUAUCAAUAUCUCCUCCCAUGUUGGCUACAUCAACACUUCCAACAGCAGAGCCUUGGUGAGUUUGACUUCCGUCUUAGCAUCGAUGUCGCUUAGCAACAAUUGGAUGAUGGGCGUCGACAAAUUAUGCCGGACAAGUCGCUCGAACUGAAACUAUCUGAUCCAACAGGUAGAGCAGGCGUUGCGUGACAUGUCCAUUAAUGUGACUACUCGAUAUGUUGUUCUCGAAUAAUGUGAACCUAAGGCCUGGAGAGCAGUAUGCGAUUGACGCCAUUCAACAACAGUUGUCGGCAAUUCUCGGGUUUGGGGUGGCGACUUCGGCGUCGAGACUCGCUCCAUCUCUGUCUAAGGCCCAGUCGCAGCAGCAGCAGCAGCAACAAGAACAAUAAGUAGUAUCUUAGUGGUGUUCUGGGAUAUGGGGCUUCAUGUAUGUGCUUAAAUUGUCAUCCAAGAUUAGCCUGUGCAGACUGCACCUACAUUAAGUCAUAUUAAAUUGUCAUCCCAGAUUAGCCUGUGCAGACUGCACAUACAUUAAGUCCUAUUAAAUUGUCAUCCAAGAUUAGCCUGUGCAGACUGCACAUACAUAAAGUCCUAUUAAAGUGUCAUCCCAGAUUAGCCUGUGCAGACUGCUCAUACAUUAAGCCCUAUUUUCCCAGAAUGAGACUCGUAUACUUCACUUAACAUCAGUAUUUUAUGUGCCUGAAAAGUUCCUAGCAUCAAAUGGGAAUUAUGUGCUUUUAAAUUGAUCACACAUAGUAAAUAAAAUGCAAAUAGCACUUGAUCUGAUAUCAAUUUUAAUUGUUUCUGCCUGAUUGAGAAAAAGGUCAAAGCAUCAAAUGGUAAGUAUGUGUUUUUAAAAUUAAUCAACUUGGUAAAUAAAUAGCAAUUGAUCUAAUAUCAGGUUUAAUCAUAAAAGGUAAAGGCAUAGUUUUGUGUAAUUUUCGGCCGAAAUUCAGCUCUUAAACAAAGCGUUUGUCUUUUACAAAAUCCGCUGUAAUAGACUUGUUAAAUUUUAUUUAAUUUUAGCAAAACAAUUAUUUAAAUGACUUCAGCACAUUAUACAAUUAUUACCUUCACUAUUUAUUUAAGUUCCUGAAUUUUGUUUUAAGAGCCGGUUCCUACAGGAUCCCAUGCAAUAGAUUGGUACCCAGCUGAACAACAGGCUUUCUGGUAAGCUGGGCCCGGAUAGGUGCAGCCAGUCAAAAGCUGGGGCUCCAAACUGUCCUGCCAAGUGGGCUGAUAUUACCUCUUCUACAAGGGACAUAUGUCAGUGAUGCGCAAAGAGCUGGUUUUCUGUUCACAGAGAAAUAUCCUAACAACUCCAACUCAGCCACUACAUCUCAACAGACAACCCGAAUAUCAAGGCGUUAAGUUUCUUCUGGAUGCAGUUACAGUCACAGCUUUCAAGCCAGCAGCUGUCGAUGUAUUGAGAUUUUCUCCUCUCCAUGUUACCUGACCUGCUGCCUGUGAACAUCCUGCACAUAGAACCUUUAUCCCAAUCGAUGUAAUUAAACCGGCCAAUCAAAAAGAUAGCCUGGUACAGCACUUGUCAUUAGAUUGACGCCAUGCAUGCCUUUGAAGAUCAUUUAUACAUACAAUUUAAGCAUGAUAGUCAAUAAGUGCCUGCGUUGGCUUCUUAAAAGACUCACAGUCCUAAGCAUUUACGAUGGAAUUCCUCAUCUUGAAAUAUUGGGAAAGCAGGAAAACACCUGUCACUGUUAAGAAAAAAAUGAGGGAAUGACAAAGCACAAUAAGACCAGCCAAGUCCUGUGAUCAGACAAGUCCUGUGAUCAGACACGUCAUGUGAUAAGCCAAGUCUUAAGAUCAGCUUAGUUCUGUGGCCAGACACGUCUUGUGGCCAGCCAAGUGUUUUACCAGACAUGUCCUGUGACCAGCGAAGUCCUGUGAUCAGCCAAGUCUUAGGAUCAGCUAAAUUGUGUGGCCAGCCAAGUCAUGUGACCAGCCAAGUGUUUUUACCAGCCAUGUCCUAUGACCAGCAGCUUUGUCUCGAGUGUACAGUCUGAUUGUAUGGGAAGAAAAAUCUACAUUUCAUAUUGUAUGGGCAUAAUGAUACUGACAGUAUCUUGAUGAUUAAGUAUUUUGUUAUAUAUUGGUAAAUAGACCAAUAUGAUAAGGGGAAACUCAGUAAUAGCAGUAAUUUAAAGUUUUAUUUCAAGAGCAAAAUAAUGCAAGUACUACAAUUGUGUCUGUAUUCAGAAACUGACUCUAUAUAGCUUUAUCCUGAUUAUCGUAAACAGACAGACACACAUGAUUUUACAAUUGUUGUUUUUUAAACAUUGAUUUUAAGCCUUCACAAAGUUGUUUAAAUAAUGCUGAUACCUUGGACAAUAUUUAGCUUAUUUAUUGUAUAAACAAGACAUGCUUAUUUUUAGUUUUUACCUAUAAAAUAGCAAUAGCAAUAGGUAAAAUAAUUGAUCAGAACGGUUCAUAAUUGAGAUGCUUCUAUUUUGAUAUGUCUGUCAUUCUGUCUGUGUACAUUUCUCAUCAGUUUGCUCUUUUGAGGCAGUAUUUUAUCAAGAAUUUCAUGUAGUGAUGUAAUAUUAAGAUAUCAAAUAAUAAUUUGAUUUAUUCAAACUAUAUUAACCUUCUGUUAAUUAUCAAUUUAUUUAUUGGCAACAGAUACUUUGUUUAAUAUUAACAAUAGUUAAGCGCGUUAUAAAAAUUGUGUGAAUGUACAUGCAUAAUAUUGCAAUAAUUGAUGAACACAUUAAUGGAAAAACUAUUUAAAUAAAGUGUAAUUUAGAAGUGCAUCUUAAUUGUAAUGGAGUUUGUUUAAUUAUUAAAAAAGGAUGCUUUCAUUGUUGAAAAUAUGAUAGUAAUUCCUCCACAAGUAAUUUUGUUUCAAAGUGAGUAUUUUCAUGAAUAAUGAUCCUAGAUAUGGUUGUAGAUUGUUCUUGUUGUAUCAUAUACUGACAUGCUAAUUAUUUGUUAUGACAUUUGCAUUCUAGCAUUAAAAGUUCAUUAUGCUUUAAAUAUUUGUAUGUACACAUUUGCGACCAGCUUUUCUAAUGUAAUAAGUGAAUAACGUAACACAGAUUUAAUUGUCACUGUAUAUACGUUUAUUUUGUCAUUUGUAAAUAGAUCAACUGCGAACAUAAUGUUUUUGUUUGUACAUUAUUCAUAAAAUGUUGCCAUUUCAAACAGAUACAUUCACUGUUUGAAUUCAUUUGUACAAAAUUGUUUCAUAUUAAACAUCAUUUACAUAUCAGGCAAUAGAGAAAGAAUUGCUUUGGAUGAAUGAGCACAUUAACCUGUAUAGUAAAUUAAGACAUGCAGAAUAUCAGAUCAUUAACAUACUUUAAGCAUUAGAAACACCUUGUUUUAUGUCAAGCUUUUCAGUGAAUAUAAUUAAGCAACUAUUAUCUGGAAAUUUGGAAAACAGUGAAGAACGAUUCAAGGGAGAGCAACUGUGAUAUACUAAAUAAAAGUCGUCUCCCUUGUUAGAGUAUAAUUGUACCUCUCAACGUAACAAGAACAUUGAAUCUUUUUUUAUAUUAUUCCACACUAUAAACUAUGUACUAUAUUCAUUCAAUAAUCACUAAAGAAAUAUGGUUUGCAUAAUUGUUUAUUUCUAUGCGUUAUACCAAAUUCACCAAAUUCACCAGUAUGGCAUCAAUUUAAGUUCAUCAUAUUUUUAUUGCCAAAAUUGGCCAUACAGUGCUAAAAAUUUGGUAUUCUGACUAUUAUUAGUGCAUGUUCUCAUACAAUAUCACAUUGUAGAUUUUAACACCGAAGCAAUUCUGACUAUUAUUAGUGCAUGUUCUCAUACAAUAUCACAUUGUAUAUUUUAACACUGAAGCAAUAUGUGUUAAUAUAUAAAUUUUUAUUUAUUGACUUGUUAUUGCUUGUUAAGGUGUCUAAUUUUGAAUUAUAGCUGUAAAUUGAUGUGACUAUUUUCCAGUUUUGAAUGAUUGCUUUUAGUUGAUUGUUUACAAGUUUUGUAAAAGCUGUUUUCAUGUUGACUGCUCCACAUUAAAUGACUUUAUUAUUAUUUCGUUGACGCACAUUCACUGCGGCCAGGUUCCGUAAAACUCCCAACUCAUCUGAUGUCUUAUGAUUGGAUUCCAUACAUAGUGGUUGUUUAUACUCAGCUUGCUUUGCAUUAAACAUGUCUGCUUUGUUGUUAAAAAUUAUACACAGCUUUUUAUUAGACAAAAUUGUGUAAUAUUUCAAAUUUUUGAUAUCAUUUUUUUAUUUCGAACAAAAAUAUAUUUUGUUUAUUUGUAUGUAUGUUUAGCUAUAAUAAAAUUGUUUCUAUAAUAUAUAAACAACAUAUUUAUAAGCAAUAAACUAUAUUGGUAAAAGUAGAUUUAAGGUUCAAAAUCAUGUCUUAAUUUGUUCGAUUAUCCCAAAAUAACAUUUUGCAAAAGCAGAAACUUGUUGAAUAAAGAAAACUUUAUGCAACGUACCACUAGGUCUUUUAACCAUUGAUUGUGUAUCACUAACGAUCAGGACUUUAUCAGGGAUACAUAAUUGCCUUUGCAUGGCUAUAAUGUUUGUGUUAUUGAAUUGAAUAAUUUUUGUAGUUUGGUGCACAUUAAUUGUUGUUGUUUUUUUAAGACAUAGCACAUGUCAUAUAAUAUAAUAUCAUUGUAGUUUUGGUAUGUUUAGGGAUAUAAUCAUGUUAAUGUAUGUGAUUUGCUGAUCCAUUUCUUGAUGUUUCACUCCAUUUAAUGUAUAUAGCCAUGCAUAGAGCAGGAAUAUUGUUGUACUGUAAAAAAAUGUUGUUAUAGCAAAUAAAAAAUGUAUGUGAA
Long non-coding RNA from Dreissena polymorpha, 10163 nucleotides. RefSeq lists it as uncharacterized. Lineage: Eukaryota; Metazoa; Mollusca; Bivalvia; Myida; Dreissenidae. The transcript is spliced from 9 exons. The record is from RefSeq and is a predicted model, not a curated record.